This 253-nucleotide ribosomal RNA is filed under the name uncultured bacterium. RNAcentral describes it as "partial 16S ribosomal RNA". It matches the Rfam family "Bacterial small subunit ribosomal RNA", at positions 524 to 776 of the family's 1533-position model. The record is from RNAcentral.
UACGUAGGUGGCAAGCGUUGUCCGGAUUUAUUGGGUUUAAAGGGUGCGUAGGCGGUCUUUUAAGUCAGUGCUGAAAUAUCCCGGCUUAACCGGGAGGGUGGCAUUGAUACUGAAGGACUUGAGUAAAGUUGAGGUAGGCGGAAUUGACGGUGUAGCGGUGAAAUGCGCAGAUAUCAGGAGGAACACCAAUUGCGAAGGCAGCUCGCUGGGACGUGACUGACGCUGAGACGCGAAAGCGUGGGGAGCAAACAGG